AGGAUAGAGGCUGCAUUUUUCAUGAGUAGGGUGACGGAUGUGUCAGGAACAGAGGAAAUCAUCAGAAAGGGGAAGAUGCCGAAAGGACAAAACGCCUGACGUUUUAUCCUUGGGCAUGGCGUGAAGAACGACAUGACUGUCAUCGCAGGAUGGAGAGCUAUCCG
RNAcentral lists this non-coding RNA (164 nucleotides) under uncultured Mediterraneibacter sp. RNAcentral describes it as "Lysine riboswitch". It matches the Rfam family "Lysine riboswitch aptamer". Rfam says of the family: Riboswitches are metabolite binding domains within certain messenger RNAs that serve as precision sensors for their corresponding targets. Allosteric rearrangement of mRNA structure is mediated by ligand binding, and this results in modulation of gene expression. Lineage: Bacteria; Bacillati; Bacillota; Clostridia; Lachnospirales; Lachnospiraceae. The record is from RNAcentral.